GUCACUUUGGCGGAGUGGUUAACGCGCUGCCCUGCUAUUGCUUGUCAUCUAGGGUGGGUGACGAGCCGGUCAGGCAGUUCCCUCGGGAGCGUAGGUUCGAAUCCUACAGGUGACG
This is a non-coding RNA of Echria macrotheca, 115 nucleotides long. Lineage: Eukaryota; Fungi; Ascomycota; Sordariomycetes; Sordariales; Schizotheciaceae. The record is from the annotation of a GenBank genome assembly.